RNAcentral lists this ribosomal RNA (1243 nucleotides) under Salmonella enterica subsp. enterica serovar Typhimurium. RNAcentral describes it as "partial 23S ribosomal RNA". It matches the Rfam family "Bacterial large subunit ribosomal RNA", at positions 580 to 1739 of the family's 2925-position model. Lineage: Bacteria; Pseudomonadati; Pseudomonadota; Gammaproteobacteria; Enterobacterales; Enterobacteriaceae. The record is from RNAcentral.
CAGGUUUACCUGUGUGACUGCGUACCUUUUGUAUAAUGGGUCAGCGACUUAUAUUCUGUAGCAAGGUUAACCGUAUAGGGGAGCCGUAGGGAAACCGAGUCUUAACCGGGCGUUAAGUUGCAGGGUAUAGACCCGAAACCCGGUGAUCUAGCCAUGGGCAGGUUGAAGGUUGGGUAACACUAACUGGAGGACCGAACCGACUAAUGUUGAAAAAUUAGCGGAUGACCUGUGGCUGGGGGUGAAAGGCCAAUCAAACCGGGAGAUAGCUGGUUCUCCCCGAAAGCUAUUUAGGUAGCGCCUCGUGAAUUCAUCUCCGGGGGUAGAGCACUGUUUCGGCUAGGGGGCCAUCCCGGCUUACCAACCCGAUGCAAACUGCGAAUACCGGAGAAUGUUAUCACGGGAGACACACGGCGGGUGCUAACGUCCGUCGUGAAGAGGGAAACAACCCAGACCGCCAGCUAAGGUCCCAAAGUCAUGGUUAAGUGGGAAACGAUGUGGGAAGGCCCAGACAGCCAGGAUGUUGGCUUAGAAGCAGCCAUCAUUUAAAGAAAGCGUAAUAGCUCACUGGUCGAGUCGGCCUGCGCGGAAGAUGUAACGGGGCUAAACCAUGCACCGAAGCUGCGGCAGCGAACGUAUCACCCAAGACAACUUUACGGAGUUGACGAUUGACGGAGCGAAGCGACGUCAAAGCGUUCAUUAAAGUCGAGUUGGCUUAGGGAUACGUUCGUUGGGUAGGGGAGCGUUCUGUAAGCCUGUGAAGGUGUGUCGUGAGGCAUGCUGGAGGUAUCAGAAGUGCGAAUGCUGACAUAAGUAACGAUAAAGCGGGUGAAAAGCCCGCUCGCCGGAAGACCAAGGGUUCCUGUCCAACGUUAAUCGGGGCAGGGUGAGUCGACCCCUAAGGCGAGGCCGAAAGGCGUAGUCGAUGGGAAACGGGUUAAUAUUCCCGUACUUGGUGUUACUGCGAAGGGGGGACGGAGAAGGCUAUGUUGGCCGGGCGACGGUUGUCCCGGUUUAAGCGUGUAGGUGUGUGUUCCAGGUAAAUCCGGUUCACUUUAACACUGAGGCGUGACGACGAGGCACUACGGUGCUGAAGCAACAAAUGCCCUGCUUCCAGGAAAAGCCUCUAAGCAUCAGGUAACACGAAAUCGUACCCCAAACCGACACAGGUGGUCAGGUAGAGAAUACCAAGGCGCUUGAGAGAACUCGGGUGAAGGAACUAGGCAAAAUGGUGCCGUAACUUCGG